GACGAACGCUGGCGGCGUGCUUAACACAUGCAAGUCGAACGGAAAGGCCCUGCUUUUGUGGGGUGCUCGAGUGGCGAACGGGUGAGUAACACGUGAGUAACCUGCCCUUGACUUUGGGAUAACUUCAGGGAACUGGGGCUAAUACCGGAUAGGAGCUCCUGCUGCAUGGUGGGGGUUGGAAAGUUUCGGCGGUUGGGGAUGGACUCGCGGCUUAUCAGCUUGUUGGUGGGGUAGUGGCUUACCAAGGCUUUGACGGGUAGCCGGCCUGAGAGGGUGACCGGCCACAUUGGGACUGAGAGACGGCCCAGACUCCUACGGGAGGCAGCAGUGGGGAAUAUUGCACAAUGGGCGGAAGCCUGAUGCAGCAACGCCGCGUGCGGGAUGACGGCCUUCGGGUUGUAAACCGCUUUCGCCUGUGACGAAGCGUGAGUGACGGUAAUGGGUAAAGAAGCACCGGCUAACUACGUG
RNAcentral lists this ribosomal RNA (468 nucleotides) under uncultured bacterium. RNAcentral describes it as "partial 16S ribosomal RNA". It matches the Rfam family "Bacterial small subunit ribosomal RNA", at positions 28 to 507 of the family's 1533-position model. The record is from RNAcentral.